CUCCAGGCAAGAAUACUGGAGUUCCUAAAUAUCUGACUGCCGAAAAACCAAAGUGAAUUCACUUUUUUGUGUACUAUUAGUUAAUUCUGAAUUGUGAUAACUCAGUCAAGGUAGGUAGAUCUUACCUUUUCAAUAGGAAGAAUAAAAGAAGACCAGAGACAUCUACUGAGUUUUCACCCCAAAUCCAGAGACUGUUAGUACGUCUGGGUGCGUGAGGAACUUUCGGUGGCUGUGAGUAAAAGCCAGGAGACCAUCUAGGAUAACACUUACGUAGCCUACACAAGAUGGAGGCAGAAAAGGGAAAGGAAAGAAUUUAAGAUAUAUUUUUAAAAUAGAACUAACAGGAUUUGCUCAUGCACUGUACUCACGUUCCUCUCUUAGGAACCGCAUGGACUAUAGCCUGCCAGGCUCCUCUGUCCGUGGGAUUCACCAGGCAAGAAUACUGCAAUGAGAUGCCAUUUCCUUCUCUGAUGUAUUGGAUAUUUGUGGGCAAAGAUGAAAGAAAGGGAGCCAUGAAAAGUGGCUUCUACGUCUUGCCUUGAGCAAUUUGUGGAUAUGCAAUUGCCUGAGGUGGGGGUGAUUGGAGUUGGGUUGGGAGAAAAGUUGGCAGUGUAAUCAAGGACUUGCUUCACUCACUUGUUACUACCAUAGCUCCCGAAGGCAUUUUAAUUUAUUUUUUUUUUCCCCUCUAAGUGGAUGGUGAAGAGGAAACCCCAGAUCAAGCCUGGAGCUCUCUGAAAUGGAAAGGGAGGUGAGGAGAAGAGAAGGAGCUGACGAAGGAGACUGAGAAAGGGAAGGCCAACAAGAAAAUUUCAAAUCACAAAUGAACAGUGCUUAACAGUGCAAAGCACAUGAACAGUGCUUAUCUGAUAAAAUAUAUCAACAAGAAUCUGGGACUGAACACGACAAACGAGUAGAGGCUCCUGCCCUGCCCGCUAGGCUGUCAAGGCUGCUUGCUUCUUCUACGCUGCUCUCCGUAGGGAGUGAGAGGCAAGAAGGCCGAGCGAAGUUCACCGGCACCGAGAAGCUCUGAAUUCUGCUCUGCCUGAAACAGCAGCUGCACUCGCCUCCGGCACCUCCCCAGCAGCUCAUAGACUAUGCCCUGCAGCAGGGUUCAACCUCGCCAGAUCCUUUUGCUCCUCCAUCAAGAAAGAAUUACUCUGACUUCUUUUGGAGUAAGCUAAGUUCUCACUCACCUCUUGGUCCCUUUUUUAAUCACUGAAAAUGCUUCAGGGUUCCUACUCAUUAAGUAUUUGAGUCAAAAGUUUUGGAUAGUUUUAUUUGUAUUUUUUGGAAAAAUGCAGGAGCAACCAGACAGCCUUCCUACUCCACCUCCACCUCCUCGAAUAAAACUCUUAUUUGGUGGACUGUGGGUUAUCUACCGUGAUCUCUUUCUACUGCGUUCCUAGCGUGCCAACUAGAAAAAUUACAGGUACUAUGUUUACACAGCCUGCAUUUCUGUUUACAAAAUCUCUCUGCGGAGUUUGCGAAGUUGGUUAUUUGUUUCGUUUCUUCCUCCCCCACUCCCCUUUUUUUUGUGGCUGCACCUGUCGAUCCGACUCUGAAACCAGUUUCCGACAGGGGAAGUCAGGGGGUGAGGUACCCAUCAAACUGGUUUGACUGCUUGAAGAUGGCUGGUUAUCCCAGUUUUAGCAAAAAAUGGAAACGACAAAAUAACCUGACUGUUUGGAUUUCUCAGUGCAGAAACUGAAUUUGAGGCCUGUGAAUGACCACUAAUACACUUUUUUUUUUUAACCAUUUUAGGACUGCCAUGUUGACAGAGCUCUAGAGAGUUGCAUUGUUCUUACAAAUAGUGCAGACUCUAUUAUACCCUCUCAGAAUGGAAGAGUUAGGUCUCCAAGAACCUAACCAAUUGCUGGGCCACUUUGACAAUGAAGAAAAUGAGUCCCUUGGGUUAAAUAAAAGGUACUGAAUCUAAGGACCCCUGAAUCCAUUCCGUUUCAAUGAUGGCAUUUUGCUUCCUGAUUUAGUAGAAAUGAAAGGAAGGAAUACACUUAAAUAAAUAUUCUCAUUCAA
Long non-coding RNA from Capra hircus (goat), 2037 nucleotides. RefSeq lists it as uncharacterized. The record is from RefSeq and is a predicted model, not a curated record. The transcript has 3 exons. NCBI's taxonomy places the organism in Eukaryota, Metazoa, Chordata, Mammalia, Artiodactyla, Bovidae.